Non-coding RNA from Arachis ipaensis, 960 nucleotides. The record is from RefSeq and is a predicted model, not a curated record. NCBI's taxonomy places the organism in Eukaryota, Viridiplantae, Streptophyta, Magnoliopsida, Fabales, Fabaceae.
UUGUUUAUAUCUUCUUUUAUUUUUGGUCACCAACAAAAAAUUCCAGGCUUCCAGGGUCAUCUAGUACCGUUUCCUAUUCGUUUCCAUCUAAGUCCGAACCCCGGUCACUGUGAAGGAAUCCUCUACCCUCGGUUCUUCUCUUAUGGAGACAACACCCUCUUCUCACCGACUAACCUUCCGCUCUUUCCGUUGCUCCUGUUUUAGGCACUGCUGUCGCUGUUUCUGCUGUUUCUACUCCUUUUCAUAAACCUAAUCUCUCUUUUCUCCUUCGCAACCUUCAACACUUCACCUUUUUUCCUCUCUGUUCUUCUCACCGCCGAUGGCUGAUCAAACUGCUCUUCUUAAGAAUUCAUUUUAAAACUUCCUCACUGUUCUACUCGUUGGUUUUAAGAAUUCAUGGACCGAUUGGAGCGAGGGUUCAUUCCUUAUUGUAUGUGAAACUCUAAUCAGUUUCCUCUGGAGCUUAAAGGAAGCUGAUAGUCUGUUUGAUUUCUGUGAUAUCAAUACCUCUACAAUCGAUGAAAGUCUCAGAGGUCCAAGGGGAGCUAUUAUUGAUGGGGAUGACAAGGAAGAAAGGCAUGGUUCUCAACCAUGGAGAUGAUUUCGAGGAAAAUAUAAUUUUUGCUUUAUAUCUGUCAACAAAAGGAAGCCCUAAUAAUAAUGAUAAUAAUAAUAAUCACAUUUAUGCUCUAGCCAUUUCCUUCAAACUAGCUAUAGCUCUAGGAUGCAAAAUAUAUGCAACAGAUGACGAAAGAUGCAUCAGCAUUAACCUCUGCUUUGUCCAAAAGAAAAUUCAGACUUGUGACUAAUGGGAUUGACAAUAAUCUUUUACUUUGGGAUCUGGGAGAACUUGAAUUAGUUGGUAUUAUCUCUUUCUACUUUUAUCAAUAUGUCAUGGAAAUUAUACAUGUAUUUACAAUGACUAUGAUGGUUUAAUAAUAAAUUUUGUUGUUUGAUCAA